GAAAGUAAUAAAGGGCGUAUGGGGGAUGCCUAGGCUCUUGGAGGCGAAGAAAGACGUGGUAAGCUGCGAUAAGCCUCGGGGAUUUGCAAACGAGAAUUGAUCCGAGGAUUUCUGAAUGGGACAACCCGGCAGGCAGAAGGCCUGUCACACGAAAGUGGGCCAACCCUCUGAACUGAAACAUCUUAGUAGGAGGAGGAAAAGAAAGAAACAUCGAUUUCCUAAGUAGCGGCGAGCGAACGGGAAACAGCCUAAACCACAAUUGUUACGGCAACUGUGGGGUUGUAGGACUGCAAUAUUCAAAUGACUGUGAACUGGAAUGUUCUGGAAAGUUCAUCCAUAGAGAGUGAAAGACUCGUACAGGCAAGCACGUCAGGCGAUAGCAGUAUCCUGAGUAGGGCGGGACACGAGGAAUCCUGUCUGAAUCCGCCGGGACCACCCGGUAAGGCUAAAUACUCCCAAGAGACCGAUAGUGAACCAGUACCGUGAGGGAAAGGUGAAAAGAACCCCGAACAGGGGAGUGAAAUAGAACCUGAAACCAUACGCUUACAACCUGUCGGAGCGGCUUCGUGCCGUGACGGCGUGCCUAUUGAAUAAUGAGCCUACGAGUUACUAAUCACUGGCAAGGUUAAGUGCACGGAUGCACGGAGCCGAAGCGAAAGCGAGUCUGAAUAGGGCGUUUAGUCAGUGGUUGUAGACGCGAAACCUUGCGAUCUACCCUUGAGCAGGUUGAAGGUUGGGUAAAACCAACUGGAGGACCGAACGAAUAAGCGUUGAAAAGCUUCUCGAUGACUUGAGGGUAGGGGUGAAAGGCUAAUCAAGCUGGGAAAUAGCUCGUACUCCCCGAAAUGCCUUUAGGGGCAGCGUUGUAAUUAAGAGUCUACUGGAGGUAGAGCUACUGAUUGGAUGCGGGGGCUUCACCGCCUACCAAAUCCUGACAAACUCCGAAUGCCAGUAGUAUGAUUUACAGCAGUGAGCGACCGGGUGCUAAUGUCCGGUUACGAGAGUGGAACAACACAGACCAGCAACUAAGGUCCCCAAGAGUAUACUAAGUUGAUCUAACGAUGUUUUGCUGCAGAGACAGCUAGGAUGUUAGCUUGGAAGCAGCUAUUCAUUCAAAGAGUGCGUAACAGCUCACUAGUCGAGCGGCAAAGCGUGGAUAAUAAACGGGCAUCAAGUAUACCACCGAAGUUCUGGGCACGAAAGUGCGGUAGGGGAGCAUUCCAUUCCGCGUUGAAGCCGAACCGUGAGGUUUGGUGGAGUGUAUGGAAAAGCAAAUGUAGGCAUGAGUAACGAUAAUGCGGGAGAGUAACCCGCACACCGCAAGACCAAGGUUUCCUGAUCAACGCUAAUCGGAUCAGGGUUAGUCGGGUCCUAAGGGUAAGCCGAACGGUGAUCUCGAUGGAUAAUCGGUUAAUAUUCCGAUACUGACAUAUACCUCGAUGGAGAGACGAAGGAACGUAAGUGCCGCCACCUGACGGAAUAGGUGGUUAAAGGGCUUAGGUAUAGGGGCAGAUUAAGAGUUAGUCCUUGCUGAAACCUGACAGUACAGAGAGCCUACGGGCAAUUUGAUAGUGCACCCAAGUCGACUUCCGAGAAAAUCUUCUAAGUUAUAGUAUAUGUCACCCGUACCGUAAACCGACACAGGUGGUCGAGGAGAGUAUCCUAAGGUGCUCGAGUGAAUCACGGUUAAGGAACUAGGCAAAUUAACCCCGUAACUUCGGGAAAAGGGGUCCCAUCGCGAGGUGGGCGCAGCGAAGAGGUCCAGGCGACUGUUUAUCAAAAACACAGGGCUCUGCAAAUUCGAAAGAAGACGUAUAGGGCCUGACACCUGCCCGGUGCUGGAAGGUUAAGAGGGGAUGUCAUCGCAAGAGAAGCAUUGAAUCGAAGCCCCAGUAAACGGCGGCCGUAACUAUAACGGUCCUAAGGUAGCGAAAUUCCUUGUCGGGUAAGUUCCGACCUGCACGAAUGGUGUAACGAUCUGGACACUGUCUCAACCGUGAGCUCGG
Molecule: ribosomal RNA, 2006 nt
Filed under: gut metagenome
Description: bacterial LSU rRNA
Rfam family: Bacterial large subunit ribosomal RNA
Source: RNAcentral